RNAcentral lists this long non-coding RNA (1047 nucleotides) under Carassius auratus (goldfish). RNAcentral's name for it is "lncRNA (ENSCARG00000010253.1)". Lineage: Eukaryota; Metazoa; Chordata; Actinopteri; Cypriniformes; Cyprinidae. The record is from RNAcentral.
AUGGAGUUAUAUCACUGAGUGUGUCUGGGUUACAGGAUUUUACUCGGUGCCCCGUGCAAACAGCUUACUGCUGAUUAAACAUUGAUUUUCCUCGGCACCCUCUCACCCUGAUAAAUAGAGCAUUAAGAGUUCUCCACAAAUAAUAACAUUUGGAAUAAUAAAAUUUGUUAUAUCUGAUGAACCACAAUGCUUUGAGAAAUAUAUUGGAUUAUUGCAUAGUGCAAGUGAGGGUUAUUAUAUCCUUCAGUCCACAGACAUACCCUUACCAUAUUUUAAUGGCAAUAGUCAAAAAAGUAAAUAAAUAAAUAAAAAAUAUAUAUAUUCCCCCCUGCAGGUUAUCCAUGCUCUCUGUCUGUCUAUCUAUCUAUCUUUUUUCUCCAGGUUUCCUGAUGAACAGCAAUGGAAGUGAGGUGAAACAGCGAGGAGGAAGAGAGUGUGAAUAAAAGUUUAGCUUGCAGAGCAGACUCUUUCUUCUAUCAUGGGCCGGGCAGCUGUCGGAGCCAUCCAGAGGCAUCACUCACCACUGAUGAACAUAUCAGUCCAGUCCAAGCACUCUCCUAGAAGCUCCUCACGCUACCAUGAAGAAGAGGGAGCUCACCGCAUUGAUCCAGACACACCCGGCUCCUCGCCAUCCAUCAUAAGACCAACACUCCCCUCACGCUGCUCAAGGUCCACGUGUCCUCCUUUCUGCUUUUAGCCGCUCAGCACUAUCAGCUAGAUGCUUGAUGGAUUCCCAGGGAGGCCCUGCUUGGAAUGUUUUCCUCAGAAACCUUAAUUUCUUUGUGACUGAUGAAGGAAAGACAUUAACAUCUUGAAUGACAUGGUGCUGAGUAAAUUAUCAGGAACUUUUUAUCCUGGAAGUGAACUAAUCCUUGUUUUUACCCUUUAAAUAAUGAUGGGUCCUUUUAAGCAUGGCUCUGCACUUAAUCUUCACUCAUUUUGUUUUAACAGUCAAAGCCCAGUCCUGCAAUUAGACUGAAUGUCACCAGACUCUGCGCGUUCAUGCCUCACUCUCUCUCUCAAUACCCUCCACACACCCUCACAGUC